UUUCUUUUCCGCCAUAACAUUAGUAUGGUUUAUCAUUUUAUCAUAAUAUAAAUUUUGUAAACAUUCACCUCUUAGAUAAGAAAAUCUCGGCCAUUUUGUAGGCUUCAUAAUUUUUACAUUGUAGGAAUAGGGAGUCGUCUAUCUAGUAUUUUUACAUAUCUGUAUUCUGUGGGUAUAAGUCAUGAUAUCAACUUCCUUAUCAUUUUUCGGAAAACUGCCCCCACCCAUUACUAUUGCAUAUCGACAUAUCGUGUGUGCGAAGUUGGACUACGAAACUCGUAAAUAUUGGGAAAUACAGGUGGUUAAGUAUAAAAUACCAUUGAUUCGGGAAUUAACAAGGGUUUAUUGAGGAACGAUUUUGGAUAUUAGAAUCGGUCGAAUCUUCUCGAGAUAUAAAUAUUAAGGCGUUGCCGCCGGCAGCAGGUAAAGGAAAACAACAAUGGAGAACAAAUAAUAUCACAAAAGGCGGACAAGGCGGUCGAAAACACUAAUCAAAUUUUGUGUCAACAACAACUUGGAACACAGAACUUGUAAGUGUCCAACAUUCAUCGCACUGCUGAUAAGCGGUCUUAUUGAGAAAAUUGCAUGUCUAAAAUUAUGUAAAAUAUGUUUACAUAAAUAUGAGUGAAAAUGUUUUUCGAGAUUUUGUUUCAAAUGUUCCAAACCCCAUAACACAUUGUAACAUCUACAGCCGUAAAAAGUCUCAGAUUCGGAAGGUACAGUGGAAAGGACUCAGAAACGGUGAAAAUGAAAAAUAGACACGAACCGGUCAUAGACGUGACGAGUUCAACGACCGCUCACGCGAAUAGUAAUUACGAGCGCGUAUAGUUAGCCACAGCUGUCGUACGCGUUAUCAAUACGUGCGGUAAGUCCCCGUUCGCACCUGUGUUAUUGGAUUAUGGGACAAUCAAUUAUUUUAUAUCGACUGAAUUAGUAAAUAGUUUAAGUUUACGACAAAAGAAAACGGGUCAUAUAGUAAGGCAAGCACAGUUUUAGGCUAAAACAAAAUAUCACAUCUGCGGCGGGGUUAAAAUAAAAUCUUGGGUGAACGGUUACGAAUUAAACAUACCAGUUUAAGGUUUAAUGGUAAAGAAGAUAACGGGAAAUCUACCGACGAAAUUUAUUUCCGAAAACGGUCCUCGACCUUAUGUUGGAUAAAGUCUACUUCAAUAAAAAUGGAAAACCUUUGAUUCACAUCGGGUUGGCGAGAUUCAAGAAAAGACCUCGUUAACUGAAUGGUUUCAUGUGAGAGGCAGUAAAAAUCCUGCGGACAUUAUAUCGCGUGAGUGCUGUCUUACCGAAUUAUUCCGCUAUACUCUUUGGUGGCAUGAUCCCGAGUGGUUAAUUUAAAAUGAAGAACUUUGGCCGGUUAUCCAACAGGAAGAGACAUCAAACGAUCUCGUGGAUAUGCCGGAAGAAAAAAAUUGAGUGUCAGUGGUGUAACUACAUCCGAAAAUGAUUUGAUUGUUUACAGAUAUUCGUCCAUAAAAAAGAUGUCUCGAAUUGUGGCAUAUUGUAUGCUUUUGAGGUCAAACUGUUUAGGUCGUAAGCAAAAAAAGAAAAGAAACUAUUUAAAAGAGCCCACUUUAUGGAUUAAUACCAUAUCUUGAUAUAAUUCUUGUAGAUGGAAUACUGAAAUACGCUGCACUUUUAAACGCCAUCCUGCAGUGUUACCAGCUAAAAGUAUUUUUACUCAAAAUUUAAUACGUGAAGAGCAAAAAGAUCAGAUGCACGGUGGUCCUCAAGAUGUUUUAGCGUCUAUGCGUGAAAGGUAUAGGUCUAUAAAUGGACGAAAUGUCACACGAAACGUGGUGAGUAAUUUGCAAAUGCGUUAUCUGUUUUAAACAACGCUCAAUAAUCCUAAAGCCUAUAAUAGGUGAUCUACCACCCUACCUAAAGGCGGAGUUGAAACCGGUCACGCUUUUCUGAAAUGUGGCAUCGACUAUGCCGGUCCUUUUUCAUUAAAAUCGGGACCACGAAAAAACUCUCCAAUUAUAAAAGCUUGCGUUUGUUUAUUUAUUUGUUUCUCUACGCGUGCAGUACAUUUGGAAGUAAUGAGCGAGUUAAGUACCGACGCCUUUCUACUCAUGCUUAAUCGACUUUUUGACCAACGCUGUAGAAGUCUAGUAAUGUAUUCUGGUAAUGCAACGAAUUUUGUAGUCACGAAUCCUCAGUUAAAAGAACUAUACGAAUUAUUGCAAUGAGAUGAUCAUUAAAGUAAAACUGCUGAAAUUGAUCAACUCUAGGCGUUGAAUGGAAAUUUAUACUAUCGCUCCCCAUUUUGGAGGUUUGUGGAAAGCCGGAAUAAAAUCCAUGAAGUAUUUAUUGCGUCACGUACUGGGUGAUGCUCAUCCAACUUAUUAACUAUACUUACAUAUGCCGUAGCCUGUUUAAAUAGUCAACCUUUAAUUCCUAUUUCGUCAGAUUCAAAUGAUUUGAUUCCUCUAGGUCCUUGCAACUUCCUUAUAGGAGAUUCUCUAACCGCUAUACCAGAAAUCGACGAGUCAACUGUGCCAAUCAACCGUCUGAAUAAAUGGCGCCGAGUAUCUCAAUACUCUCAAAACUCGUGGAAACGAUGUAGUAGUGAAUACCUACUUAUCGCAACUUCGAGAAAGAGACAAGUGGGAGUGGGCUAGAACGAAUGGUCCAAAAUUGAAUGUUCCUUGGUGUAGCUGAAAGACGAAAAUCUCACCCCUUUACGAUGACGUAUGGGACGUGUUUCCAAGAAUCAAUGAAACCAAGGUUUGCUUGCCCCAAUUUAUGCGGAAAAUCAUACAAAGAUAAAGUAUCGGUUGUUCGACAUCUUAAAUACAAUUGUAAAAUGGAAACGAUGUUUGAAUGUCCGGUUUGCUUCAGACAAUUCACUAACAAACAAUCUAUGAAAAGACAUUCAAUACUGGUUCAUAAACAUUUUCCAGAAUAAAAUAUAACAGAACAAAAAAAAUUGAGAAUUUUUUGCCCUAACUCCUGUGGAAGAUCAUACAAAAAUAAAUGCUCGAUUGGUCGACAUCUUAAAUUUGAAUGUGGAGUACAACCAAAAUUUAAAUGUUUUAUUUGCUACAAAAGAUUUACUGAUAAACAAUCGAUGAAGAGACAUGUGAUACUGAUUCACAGACAUUUUGGGAUAAAUAACAACAGCUUUUGACAUUUAUAUAUUGAAUAAUAUUCUACUUUCACUUUAAAAAUACUUAAUAGUUACCUAUUUUAAAUACUUUAAUACUAUAUAUUUUAUAUUUUAAUUAAUGUAUUCAAUUGUAUCAAUAAAAUUAUAUCUUAUUCUGUUAGUUAUUGACAAUUGUUAUGUAAUUAUUGUUGCUUAACCUACCAGCUUCAGUAAUCAUAAUCAGUGUUUAAGUGGUUCUGCUUGAAUUUGAUGGUGAACUAAGUAUUUCAUAUUUUUUAAACAUAUUUUAGCGUAAAUAUAUAUAUUGGAAUUUUUGGCCAAACAAAAUGUUCAA
This is a long non-coding RNA of Myzus persicae (green peach aphid), 3458 nucleotides long. RefSeq lists it as uncharacterized. The record is from RefSeq and is a predicted model, not a curated record. NCBI's taxonomy places the organism in Eukaryota, Metazoa, Arthropoda, Insecta, Hemiptera, Aphididae. The transcript has 3 exons.